CUUUCCACGUUGCACAAGCCCAGCACAGGGUACCCAUUGGAUGUGCCCGAGGCCUCCAGAGGGAAGGAAAGGAGGAAAAGGGACAGAAGAAAUGUUCACAGGAACUACAUAUGGGCCUGCUACUUGUGUCAAAAUGUGACUGAACUCUCUUCCAGCAGGUGUGGGGAAAAGAGUGACUUCACCUUAAAUGUUAAUCUGCCAUGUAACUUCUGACUAAUCCCAGGUCCAGAAAUGCCUCCAAAUGUCUUGUUGCUGUAUUACUCUUUAUGUGGAAACACCCAUUCCCUGCUAUUUCGCUGAACUGAAGCAGUCAAAAGAGAAUGCUCAUGAGAUCCCAUCACCACCACUUUACCAAACUACUUCCAUAUGUGACUAUUUACUCUUUCUUCUUUUCUAUUAUUAUUGAUGAACUGGCCAUGUUCAUAGCUAAGGUGGAUCCUGCCACUUAGUAUUAGAUCUUAUCUACCCUUUCUCACACUGAAAUACUGUUCCAAGAAUUCUUUUCUUUUAUCAUUACUUUUCCCUGUCUACUAGUGUAAUAAGUAUAGAAAUAUGCUGUUAUUUUCCCAUAUUAAAAAAUUCUCUUGAGUAGGAAGCUCA
Symphalangus syndactylus (siamang) is the source of this 600-nucleotide long non-coding RNA. RefSeq lists it as uncharacterized. NCBI's taxonomy places the organism in Eukaryota, Metazoa, Chordata, Mammalia, Primates, Hylobatidae. The record is from RefSeq and is a predicted model, not a curated record.